AGUCAGUCCAUGUAGACCAACGUAAAUUAUAUAAAGGGGCUUGUUCCCCAGGUACAGAGUUAUCUGCUAAGAACUGAUACGCCUUCUUGAUCUCUUACAGAUUUUUCCAAAAAUACCGAGACAUGGAUGUUACUCAACAUGCUAAAACUCACCUGGAAAUUGAUGGAACAGCUUAUCACAGGCCAAAGCAACAACAGCUGUAUCUAUGCAAAUGCAGCUCGAUCUACCAAAGACUUAACAGAGGACAGCAGUGACAAUCUACAAGUUCCAUAUGUAGAUGUGACAUUUAAUUUUGGGUGGG
Non-coding RNA from Pelobates cultripes (western spadefoot toad), 301 nucleotides. Lineage: Eukaryota; Metazoa; Chordata; Amphibia; Anura; Pelobatidae. The record is from the annotation of a GenBank genome assembly.